Molecule: non-coding RNA, 187 nt
Organism: Salmo salar (Atlantic salmon)
Lineage: Eukaryota; Metazoa; Chordata; Actinopteri; Salmoniformes; Salmonidae
Source: Rfam
UGGAACCGGUCGUGUAGGAAGAUGCGGGGAAAUGCAAAAAUCUGAGAAAGAGAAGGAAAAGUUUUGAAUUUCUUAACGAUUUAGAAAGGCGGCUUAGGAUAAUUAUGUCAGCUUUAUUGAGGGUGGAUUAGCCGACGUAUAUAUGCUGUGUUUCACUACGUUUUAUACAUGCGCUUAUACAAUGUGA